This 2418-nucleotide long non-coding RNA is filed under the name Gallus gallus (chicken). RNAcentral describes it as "lncRNA (ENSGALG00010002899.1)". Lineage: Eukaryota; Metazoa; Chordata; Aves; Galliformes; Phasianidae. The record is from RNAcentral.
CACAAGGAAAGGAUGCUUCUGUGGAAAUCCCUCCUUUUGGAGUGUUUAGUGAGCCCUGAUCAUUGGAUGGGUGACCACAAGUCUUCUGCAAGUGCUGAAAAGCAGUUUGCUGCCCCUGCAUCACCAGCUGUGCAGACACGUUUAGUACCUGUGCUCGACGGACGGUGAGCAGCCACCUUGUGCUGAGUGGUACCUGGGGGGGAGACUGAGCAUGCAGCCUCUGCUAGGUGCCAUGCAUGCCUUAUUCUGAUGUAUACAAAGGCUGAUAGGAUCCGGCCCAAAGAUGUAGGUGGGAGAAUCAUUACAAGAAGAUAUGCUGGGCUCUGCUUUAGAAGCUGGGAUGUAUGCUGGAGUUCUUCCUUCUGACCUGGAGCUGCCUUGCAAGCUACCAUUGCUCUGACUUCCUCAAUGGAACCUCAUGGGUGGUGAAUGAUAUGCUGAUUCAAGCUGUACAGGAGAAACCAACAACUCAACUCUGUAUUGUGAUGAGACUCUCAGUGCUGUAUGGACAGAAUGGGGAAGCAUUCAAGCGCGUUUCCUUUCUCAGCACGUGGGAUACAGGAGGGCAGCAAAGCAUCACCUGUGAUGAACCACUCAUGUAUCCUUCUUGUAUCUGCAGGUCAGCUGCUGUUUAUGUUCGUUAGUAAAUUAUGUGCCAACCUCAUCACGUCACCCUGCAAUCACAGUGCUGUGUUCCAUGUGUCCAACCUCCAUACAUUUGUGUUUAUAUUGAGCUAUUGCAUCCUGCUCAGGGGUGAGGGCACCUCUCUGCUGCUGCACAAAUUGGAGAACUUCUGCUUCACCAAAGCUCAUAAUGCCUUCAAGGCAUCGGUUCCUCUCAUAGCAUUUCCCAAUCAAAGUAUUAAAAUGAGAGUUUUAUAUCCAGCCAAUACUCUUCUCAUAGCUGAUAAAGGCAAAUGAGGAAUCAUUUAUAUGAUUUAGGUUAUGAGAAGAGUAUAGGAAGAGAAUAUAAGCAAAGCAUUUAUUUCCCACCUGUAUAGAAAUGAAGCUGCUGUUUCUAAUAAAUCCUACUUGAAAAGAUGGCACUGUUAUGAAAGAACGGAGAGAGAGACCUGAGGCUUUACCUUCGUGCUGCUCCAGCCCCCAGGAGUUCAAGUGGGUUUUCUCUUUCCCAGCCCUUGAAUCAGCAGGCAGAAACUGUGGGUGCUGGCUGAAAGGGGGAGGAUGCUCUGAAGUGAGAUGUAGCUGCACCACAGCCUGGAGGCAGAAGGAGGGCUGUGUGUGCUCAGGGCUGCUGGGGGGGGAGGGUGGUUCGGAAAGCAAAACGAUCCUAUUCAACAAUAGAGGAGAAAUUAGGAGCUUGAAAAUAGCAGCAAAUUGGAAUGAAAAGAAUGCCAAUUACCAACUUUGAUCCCUCUUUUCUUUAUUUUUGUUUGAAAGAAAUAUUUUGUGAUAGGCACAUCUUGAAGUUUUCCACUUUUCUUUUGUUUUAAGCAGUGGGAGAUUUGGUAAACCUGUCCUUUAUCCUGCAAAUUCCCACCCUGAACCCUUUGUCCUAAAACUUCUGACUAAUUUCUAGGUAUUUUGAAUACUUAAGUUUGAGAAGACGUGGGAACUGACGACUUCUGUCCUCCGAGGAGAUGGCAUGAAUUACUGCAAGCAUUGGCUGCUCUGUGACUGUGCUGCAAACGGGAGUGUGUGCAAGUGGGACACGAGGGGAGAACAGCUUCAUGCCUCCCUUCUCCAGCAAGCAGGUAACUGUGCAUUGAAGUACGCCGGUAUUCUGCUGUUGUGCUGGGAGUGCCUCCUGCUCCACGUAUGGCAGAAUGAGACCCAUUGCUCACCACCCCACACGGCAUAUCGCUGCAUCGAUCAAACGCUGCUGCAAUAAAAGUCAGGCCCUAUCCAUGUGCCAAUACGGAGGGAUGUUUCUGAUUAUAAAUUCUCUAUGCAGAGUGCUGGCUAGCUCAUUGAAAAGGCAGAAAUCAAUGACAUUAGCACUCAUAAACCACAUGCAUUGUGACUGCUUCUCAGAACAGCCCUAAUUGGCAUAUGUCUGUCUUAUUGGCCUGCCUCAUAACAAUGCCCCAAAUGAUUCAUGAGACCAAAUAAGAAACAGGUGCAACCAAAACAGCACUCUGUGCCAAAAAUUCAUCUCUUAUGUAAGGAGAGGGGCCAAGGGCAUGGCUCAAACUGCUCCUUAUCGACUCCAGGAUGUGACUUCAACUCCCUGAAAGAAGCAUGUAGUGAAGUGGGGGUUGGACUCUGCCCCAGCAAUAAGAUGAGAGGGGAAUGGCCUCAGACUGUACAGGGAGGGUCAGGUUGGCUCUCAGAGCAAUGUCUGCUCCAGAGAGCAGCCAGGCACUGGCACAGCUGCCCAGGGGUGGGCAGUCCCCGUCCAUGGAGGUGUUCAGAGCCGCGGGGAUGUGGCACUGAGGGGUGGGCAGUGGGCACGGG